GACGAACGCUGGCGGCGUGCUUAACACAUGCAAGUCGAACGGAAAGGCCUGCUUUCCCUUGUGGAUUUCGGGUACUCGAGUGGCGAACGGGUGAGUAACACGUGAGUGAUCUGCCCCCAACUUGGGUAUAAGCCUGGGAAACUGGGUCUAAUUCCCGAUAGGACUGCAGGGUGGUGCCUGUGGUGGAAAACGAUUUUCUAGUGGUUGGGGAUGAGCUCGCGGCCUAUCAGCUUGUUGGUGGGGUAAUGGCCUACCACGGCGGCGACGGGUAGCCGGCCUGAGAGGGUGGACGGCCACAUUGGGACUGAGAUGCGGCCCAGACGCCUACGGGAGGGAGCAGGGGGGAAUAGUGCAAAAUGGGCGGAAGCCUGAUGCAGCGACGCCGCGUGGGGGAUGACGGCCUUGGGGGUGUAAACUCCUUUCGACCGCGAGGAAGCCACCUGGUUGGAAGGGUGGUGACGGUAGUGGUAGAAGAAGCACCGGCUAACUACGUG
This 494-nucleotide ribosomal RNA is filed under the name uncultured bacterium. RNAcentral describes it as "partial 16S ribosomal RNA". It matches the Rfam family "Bacterial small subunit ribosomal RNA", at positions 28 to 507 of the family's 1533-position model. The record is from RNAcentral.